UACGUAGGGUGCAAGCGUUGCCCGGAAUUAUUGGGCGUAAAGAGCUCGUAGGCGGUCUGUUGCGUCGGCUGUGAAAACCCGGGGCUCAACCCCGGGCCUGCAUUCGAUACGGGCAGACUAGAGUGCGGUAGGGGAGACUGGAAUUCCUGGUGUAGCGGUGAAAUGCGCAGAUAUCAGGAGGAACACCGGUGGCGAAGGCGGGUCUCUGGGCCGUAACUGACGCUGAGGAGCGAAAGCGUGGGGAGCGAACAGG
This 253-nucleotide ribosomal RNA is filed under the name uncultured bacterium. RNAcentral's name for it is "partial 16S ribosomal RNA". It matches the Rfam family "Bacterial small subunit ribosomal RNA", at positions 524 to 776 of the family's 1533-position model. The record is from RNAcentral.